Cavia porcellus (domestic guinea pig) is the source of this 311-nucleotide unclassified non-coding RNA. Its record names the gene 7SK. It matches the Rfam family "7SK RNA". From Rfam's summary of the family: 7SK was discovered as an abundant small nuclear RNA in the mid-70s but a possible function has only recently been suggested. Two independent studies have found that 7SK RNA binds the CDK9/cyclin T complex (known as elongation factor P-TEFb). NCBI's taxonomy places the organism in Eukaryota, Metazoa, Chordata, Mammalia, Rodentia, Caviidae. The record is from Ensembl.
GGACGUGCUGGCGAUCUGGGCUGAGACAUCUGCACCCCAUGGGUGACCAGGGUUAUCUGGCCGAUCUUGCUGGCUGGGUGGGUGUCCCCUCCCUCCCUCACCGCUCCUUGUGUGCACUCAUUGGAAGAGGACCAUUACCCUGACAGAGGACUGAUUCCUCAGCCAGGGGCAUAUGAGUAGCCAUGUUCCCCUUCUACAGUCUCCAAACAAGCUCUCGAAUGAAGACACUAAAGCUCUAAGAGGUCAAGUUACUUGUUAGGAUCCUAUAGCUAAAUCAGAGCUGAGAUUGAGUCAUUUCAAACUCUGUCUGU